RNAcentral lists this unclassified non-coding RNA (813 nucleotides) under Venturia canescens. Its description in RNAcentral is "uncharacterized LOC122411318, transcript variant X2". The record is from RNAcentral. Lineage: Eukaryota; Metazoa; Arthropoda; Insecta; Hymenoptera; Ichneumonidae.
AAAAAAAUAAAUUUUUUCUUAAUUUUCACAAAUAUAAAUUUCAAGUAAAUUUUGCAUCAUGGAUACGCAUCUGAAAAUGCCGUGCACUUUCGAAUAUUCUCAAGGAAAUGGGACUGGAGUAGCAGAAGCGCUUGGAAAUUGGGGAUUUUCAAGCCAAAUCGGCAGCCCUGGUCAAGAACUCCGACGUCUCAAAUGUUUAUUUGCCAAGAUGGACCAAUUGUAAAGAAAAUUCCAGUUGAAUUAUGACUUAAGAUCAUGGAUCAGUCGAUAUAUCGCAACCAUGAGUGCGAGAGACUGCAAUUUUUGAAAGUGAAAUUUUUCCAUACUGUUCGCCCGAUUGAAAUAAUAAUGGAUUUCGAAAAUUCCAAGUGAGGCGAAGCUCGAAACCAACGAUGUGUGUCAGAUAUGACCACAGAAACGAUCCUGAGGCAUGGUACGUCAGGCCAAGUCCUUACGAGUGCAUGCCUGUUUGGACAUUUGCAGAGAAAAGACCGCUCAUCACUUAUUGUUCAACAGCUGACAUCGUUACAGUUUCCGAUAUGAGUAGAAUCAGACCCGAUCUCGCUUCUCCUAUUCCCGGUCGUGGUUUUUUGAUUCAGAAGACGACGGAUAAAUGGUUCAAGAGAGGUCCUGACUGUUGUCCUCAACCUAGUUGCCUCGCUCCCCAAUGCCCAAGACCUUGCUGCUAGUUUCUGCGAGUCAUUCACGAUCAGAUUAUUUUUACCGACUUCUGAAUGUCCUUCAUCAUGAUUUAUCACUUUUUAAAAAAAUGUUGCCGUCUGUAUAAUAUUGAAUAAAUAAAAAUGACGCAAA